Molecule: ribosomal RNA, 228 nt
Filed under: uncultured bacterium
Lineage: Bacteria
Description: partial 16S ribosomal RNA
Rfam family: Bacterial small subunit ribosomal RNA
Source: RNAcentral
UACGUAGGCGGCCAUAUAAGUCAGAAGUGAAAGGCUACGGCUUAACCGUAGUAAGCUUUUGAAACUGUAUGGCUUGAGUGCAGGAGAGGAAAGCGGAAUUCCUAGUGUAGCGGUGAAAUGCGUAGAUAUUAGGAAGAACACCAGUAGCGAAGGCGGCUUUCUGGACUGAAACUGACGCUGAGGUACGAAAGCGUGGGGAGCGAACAGGAUUAGAUACCCUGGUAGUCC